This 497-nucleotide ribosomal RNA is filed under the name uncultured bacterium. RNAcentral describes it as "partial 16S ribosomal RNA". It matches the Rfam family "Bacterial small subunit ribosomal RNA", at positions 28 to 507 of the family's 1533-position model. The record is from RNAcentral.
GACGAACGCUGGCGGCGUGCCUAAUACAUGCAAGUAGAACGCUGAAGAGAGGAGCUUGCUCUUCUUGGAUGAGUUGCGAACGGGUGAGUAACGCGUAGGUAACCUGCCUUGUAGCGGGGGAUAACUAUUGGAAACGAUAGCUAAUACCGCAUAACAAUGGAUGACACAUGUCAUUUAUUUGAAAGGGGCAAUUGCUCCACUACAAGAUGGACCUGCGUUGUAUUAGCUAGUAGGUGAGGUAAUGGCUCACCUAGGCGACGAUACAUAGCCGACCUGAGAGGGUGAUCGGCCACCCUGGGAAGGAAACACGGCCCGUACUCCUACGGGAGGCAGCAGGAGGGAAUCUGCGGCAAUGGGGGCAACACUGAACGAGCAACGCGGCGUGGGUGAAGAAGGUGUUCGGAUCGUAAAGUUCUGUUGUAAGUCAAGAACGGGUGUGAGAGUGGAAAGUUCACAAUGUGACGGUAGCUUACCAGAAAGGGACGGCUAACCACGUG